GUUUUUGCUUUCACAGCUUUUUCCUGUCCGGGGAGCAGGAGAAGCCAUGGCUGAUGAGAAACCAUCCAACGGUGUUCUGGUCCACAUGGUGAAGUUGCUGAUCAAGACCUUUCUAGAUGGCAUUUUUGAUGAUUUGAUGGAAAAUAAUGUGUUAAAUACAGAUGAGAUACACCUUAUAGGAAAAUGUCUAAAGUUUGUGGUGAGCAAUGCUGAAAACCUGGUUGAUGAUAUCACUGAGACAGCUCAAAUUGCAGGCAAAAUAUUUAGGGAACACCUGUGGAAUUCCAAAAAACAGCUGAGUUCAGCUUUUCUGGAAAUCCAGGGUGCCCAACCCAGUGGCAAGUUAAAGCUUUGUCCUCAUGCUCACUUCCAUGAACUAAAGACAAAAAGGGCAGAUGAGAUAUAUCCAGUGAUGGAGAAAGAGAGGCGAACAUGCCUGGCCUCAACAUCCGCAACAAAGAAUUCAACUAUCUUCAUAAUCGAAAUGGUUCUGAACUUGACCUUUUGGGGAUGUGAGAUCUACUUGAAAACCUUGGAUACUCAGUGGUUAUAAAAGAGAAUCUCACAGCUCAGGAAAUGGAAACAGCACUAAGGCAGUUUGCUGCUCACCCAGAGCACCAGUCCUCAGACAGCACAUUCCUGGUGUUUAUGUCACAUAGCAUCCUGAAUGGAAUCUGUGGGACCAAGCACUGGGAUCAAGAGCCAGAUGUUCUUCACGAUGACACCAUCUUUGAAAUUUUCAACAACCGUAACUGCCAGAGUCUGAAAGACAAACCCAAGGUCAUCAUCAUGCAAGCCUGCCGAGGCAAUGGUGCUGGGAUUGUUUGGUUCACCACUGACAGUGGAAAAGCCAGUGCAGAUACUCAUGGUCGGCUCUUGCAAGGUAACAUCUGUAAUGAUGCUGUUACAAAGGCUCAUGUGGAAAAGGACUUCAUUGCUUUCAAAUCUUCCACACCACAUAAUGUUUCUUGGAGACAUGAAACAAAUGGCUCUGUCUUCAUUUCCCAAAUUAUCUACUACUUCAGAGAGUAUUCUUGGAGUCAUCAUCUAGAGGAAAUUUUUCAAAAGGUUCAACAUUCAUUUGAGACCCCAAAUAUACUGACCCAGCUGCCCACCAUUGAAAGACUAUCCAUGACACGAUAUUUCUAUCUCUUUCCUGGGAAUUAAAACUCAUAAGAAGCAACUCAGGAAAAUGAAGGCAUUAUGGUGUCUAUGAAUCUGCUAUUAGAAAAGGUCAAUUUUUGAUUAAGAAUAUUUUUAUACCAAACUGCUCAGCUGUCCACCUUUUCAAAUACCAGGCUAAAAUCAAUCUCAUAUUUUUGCUAAAUUAAUGCUUAAUAAAUUUUUAUUAUAAAAUUGUGCUUGUUUUCUAAUUUUGUCAUAAAUUAAGUCAUGCUUAUAGGAGAAAAAAUUAAGUAUUAAAAAUCAUAAAAAAUGAAGAAAUAAUCAUCAUCAACCUUUUUAAAACUAUUCAUAAAAACUCAAGUUUUUUAUAUAGCUUAUUUAUUUUGUAUAUCCAAUUUUGUGUGCUUUUAUUAUAUUGUUAUAACAUUACUACUAGUAAUAAAACUAUCCUAAAUAUAACUUUUAAGUUUAUAAUAUUCGUCAGGUAUAUAUAGGGCAUACUAUUUAACUUUCACCUGACUUUUAGAUGUUGAUUUCAAUAUUCAUUUAUUUUAUUUUACUUUUUUUUUAUUUCAAUAAGUUUUGGGGAACAGAUUGUGUUUGGUUACAUGAAUAAGUUCUUUUGUGGUGAUUUAUGGUGCACCCAUCACCCGAGCAGUGUACACUGUAUCUAAUGUGUAGUCUUUUAUCCCUCAACCCACUCCCACCCUUUCCCCUAAGUCCCCAGAGACAAUUGUGUCAUUCUUACGGUUUUGUGUCCCCACAGCUUAGCUCCACCUGCUGCUCUGUCUGUCCAGGUGCGAGCUGCAAGUUAGGCCUGAUUCUUAUCUGUUAUUUUCUCUGAAGUCUCCUAUUUAUUUUCUUUCUUUCUUUCUUUCUUUCUUUCUUUCUUUCUUUCUUUCUUUCUUUCUUUCUUUCUCUUUCUUUUUCUUUCUUUCUUUCUCUCUUUCUUUCUUUCUUUCUUUUCUUUCUUUCUUCUUUCUUUUCUUUUUUUCUCUCUCUUUCUUUUUCUUUUUUUAAAAUUUAUUUUAAGUUCUGGGAUACAUGUGCUGAAUGUGCAGGUUUGUUACAUAGGUAUGCAUGUGCCAUGGUGGUUUGCUGCACCCAUCGACCCAUCAUCUAGGUUUUAAGCCCCGUGUGCAUUAGGUAUUUGUCCUAAUGCCCUCCCCCAACUUAGCCCCCACCCCUGGACAGGCCCUGGUAUGUGAUGUUCCUCUCCCUGUGUCUAUAUGUUCUCAUUGUUCAACUCCCCCUUAUGAAUGAGAAUAUAUGGUGUUUGGUUUUCUGUUCCUGUGUUAGUUUGCUGAGGAUGAUGAUUUCCAGCUUCAUCCAUGUCCCUGCAAAGGACAUGAACUCAUUCUUUUUAUGACUACAUAGUAUUCCAUGGUGUAUAUGUGCCACAUUUUCUUCCAGUCUAUCAUUGAUGGGCACUUAGGUUGAUAUGAUUAUGAAUAUGUUUAACUUUUACUUUUGUCUAGAAAGAGGUUUAUAUUCUUAGAAUGUAUUACUAAAAAGUAGAAUUACUGGAUCCAUACACUUAAACUGUUUGAUAAAUUAUUGCCAAAAUUUUUUGCCAAAUUAUAUGCAUAGAAGAAAUUCAAGAUAAUGACUGGUAGGUAGAGGAAUUUUUUUUUAAAAAAAUCAUUACUGAUAUAAUAGGUAAAAAUAGUCAGUUUCAUUGACAUGUCUUUUGUUAUCGACAUUAUUUGACAUUCUAACCACUUUAUUUGCUGUGUUUUAGUGAACUGUUAAUUUAUUUUUUAAAUUUUAUUUCAAAUUUUAUAUGUGUUUUCCUUAUCAAUUUGUAUAAAUCCUUUAUAUAUGACAGUGUAUUAGCUCAUAUAACAUUAGGUCAUAUAAUAUUUUUAGUUAGUUCUUUGAUAUUAUAUUUUCUGUAUGAUAUGUGAUGUGGAAUACUCACAUUUUCAGUAAUAGAAUCCAUUUAUAUUUUCUUCUGUGUUUGUUUUUAUAUUUUCAAGCUUAAAUAUUGUAUCACUACCUAUAAUUUCUUACAAUUAUAUUAAAGAUAUAUUUAAAUAUCUUAUUCUCCUUUAAAUUUUAUGAAUUCAUUCUCUAAACAAUAUGAUUUUGCAGUGAAAUGUGACAUGGGGAUAUUAUUGAUUUUUUCCAAUGAAUUACCAGUUGUCAAUGAUACACCACUUGAAUCAUAUAUAUAUAAUCAUAUAUAUAUAUAUAUACACCAAUUGUAACAUUGUCUUUAAUAUUAAUUUAUAAUGUGUUAUGGAAUGGGUGUCUUGGACGAUAUUUAAGAAAAAUACUGGACAUUGGUAUCUACUUUAGAGAAACUUUUACUACGAGGGAUUAAAACUCACUCAAACUAGCUUAAAGAAAAAGUUUCGACAUAAGCAUACAACAGGUAAUCUCAUAUUCCUCCAUUAUAAAAAGCAAACCACAAUUAGGUCUCUGGAGAUAUGGUCUAGAACAUUGAAAAUCAGGUAAUCAUUCUCUUUGAUUAGCAUCUUCAUUGUGUAAUGACUCCUUCUGAAUCAUAAAUUUUCAGAUUACUAAUUAUGGUACUUUUAAUAAAUUAGCUUAUCUGACACCAGUUUCCAGGUAUGAAGUGGGCGUGCUAGUAUCUGACUCAUAUUGAGCAGGUAUAAUAUUAUGUGCAUGUAGCACCUCCCUGUUGCACUGCCUGCCACACAGUGGGCAAUUGUUUAUGGUAGAGAUAAUUAGUGUUACAUUCACCGAUUCAUCUUUCAGGACUUAUGCUGUAUUACAUUGCUAAUUACUGUUUGAUCAUCCUCUUUAGCCCUUUCUUGUUCUUACUGUCCUUAGUCACAUACUGUGUGUGUUUCCAGGUAAAUUUUAUAAUGACUGUAUAAGUUUUCUGAUAAUUAAAAUAGGGUUCUAAUGGAA
This is an RNA transcript of Homo sapiens (human), 4005 nucleotides long. It is a transcript of the gene named caspase 12 (gene/pseudogene), with no coding region annotated. The transcript has 9 exons. The record is from RefSeq and is marked reviewed. Lineage: Eukaryota; Metazoa; Chordata; Mammalia; Primates; Hominidae.